RNAcentral lists this ribosomal RNA (731 nucleotides) under uncultured marine bacterium. RNAcentral describes it as "bacterial SSU rRNA". It matches the Rfam family "Bacterial small subunit ribosomal RNA", at positions 13 to 794 of the family's 1533-position model. The record is from RNAcentral.
UUGAUCUGCUCAGAACGACGCUGCGGCAGGUCUAACACAUGCAAGUCGAACGGUUCCUUCGGGAAUAGUGGCGCACGGGUGAGUAACGCGUGGGAAUAUACCCUUGACUGCGGAAUAAUAUCUGGAAACGGAUACUAAUACCGCAUAAUGACUCCGGUCCAAAGAUUUAUCGGUCAAGGAUUAGCCCGCGUAUGAUUAGCUAGUUGGUGAGGUAACGGCUCACCAAGGCGAUGAUCAAUAGGGGGUCUGAGAGGAUGAUCCCCCACACUGGUACUGAGACACGGACCAGACUCCUACGGGAGGCAGCAGUGAAGAAUAUUGGACAAUGGAGGAAACUCUGAUCCAGCCAUGCCGCGUGUGUGAAGAAGGCCUUAGGGUUGUAAAGCACUUUCAAUUGUGAAGAUAAUGACGGUAACAAUAGAAGAAGCCCCGGCUAAAUUCGUGCCAGCAGCCGCGGUAAUACGAAUGGGGCAAGCGUUGUUCGGAAUCACUGGGCUUAAAGCGUGCGUAGGCGGACAUGAAAGUCAGAUGUGAAAGCCCAGGGCUCAACCCUGGAACUGCAUUUGAAACUCCAUGUCUAGAAACCCGGAGGGGCCAGUAGAAUUCCUAGUGUAGAGGUGAAAUUCGCAGAUAUUAGGAGGAAUACCAGUGGCGUAGGCGACUGGCUGGACGGGUAUUGACGCUGAGGUACGAAAGCGUGGGGAGCAAACAGGAUUAGAUACCCUGGUAGU